CAGCCGCCGCGGUAAUACGAAGGGUGCAAGCGUUAAUCGGAAUUACUGGGCGUAAAGCGUGCGUAGGCGGUGAGUUAAGUCUGCUGUGAAAUCCCCGGGCUCAACCUGGGAAUGGCAGUGGAUACUGGCUCGCUAGAGUGUGUCAGAGGAUGGUGGAAUUCCCGGUGUAGCGGUGAAAUGCGUAGAGAUCGGGAGGAACAUCAGUGGCGAAGGCGGCCAUCUGGGACAACACUGACGCUGAGGCACGAAGGCGUGGGGAGCAAACAGGAUUAGAUACCCGCGUAGUCCCUGUCUCUUAUAC
RNAcentral lists this ribosomal RNA (301 nucleotides) under uncultured bacterium. Its description in RNAcentral is "partial 16S ribosomal RNA". It matches the Rfam family "Bacterial small subunit ribosomal RNA", at positions 509 to 807 of the family's 1533-position model. The record is from RNAcentral.